RNAcentral lists this ribosomal RNA (378 nucleotides) under Escherichia coli. Its description in RNAcentral is "bacterial SSU rRNA". It matches the Rfam family "Bacterial small subunit ribosomal RNA", at positions 754 to 1128 of the family's 1533-position model. The record is from RNAcentral. Lineage: Bacteria; Pseudomonadati; Pseudomonadota; Gammaproteobacteria; Enterobacterales; Enterobacteriaceae.
CGUCAGCGUGCGGGAGCAAACAGGAUUAGAUACCCUGGUAGUCCACGCCGUAAACGAUGUCGACUUGGAGGUUGUGCCCUUGAGGCGUGGCUUCCGGAGCUAACGCGUUAAGUCGACCGCCUGGGGAGUACGGCCGCAAGGUUAAAACUCAAAUGAAUUGACGGGGGCCCGCACAAGCGGUGGAGCAUGUGGUUUAAUUCGAUGCAACGCGAAGAACCUUACCUGGUCUUGACAUCCACAGAACUUUCCAGAGAUGGAUUGGUGCCUUCGGGAACUGUGAGACAGGUGCUGCAUGGCUGUCGUCAGCUCGUGUUGUGAAAUGUUGGGUUAAGUCCCGCAACGAGCGCAACCCUUAUCCUUUGUUGCCCCAGCGGGUAA